UGUCCCCAGUGAAGGACAGACUGUCAUGCUGAGGAUGCCAUAUGUGGAUGCGAGGCCCCGGAGGAGAGGAGUCAUGUGGAGAACAGAGGCACACCAGCCAACAGCCAGCACCAAGUGUCAGCCAUGUUGGCAGAGGUUUAAGGAAAUUCUUUGGGGAGGCCCCUGCAAAGUCACUCUUCUAAAAUAUGAAUGGUGUUGAUGGAAAAAGCUGAAGUGCUUUUUUGAGCAUGAAUCGGACUAUCGCCAUGUGGCCAACAGCGUGGCUGUUUUCCCACCAAGCCCAGCACUAGAGAGAACAUUAAGAAGAGCUGAGUGGAGUUCCAAGCUCCCCGUUCUUCUGCCCACCCUCCGAUGGAGAUGCUAAUGACUCAGCCAAACGAAGAACGGAAGAGUAGCCAGGAGAAAGGAAACCGAAAAACCAUGAGCUUGGGCCACCGCCAAGCUAGAAAAGCAGACACUGAGCAACUGGAAGGCACUGGAGACCUAGCAUGAAGGAGCAGCCGGCAGACCCAGGCCUUGGGAGGACUGGGCUGCGGUUUCCAGAAGGACUAGGGCCGUCCUAUUUGGUGCUGCCACACUCAGAUCACGCUCUCUGCCCAGUGUGACCAGCGUGUGUGUUCACCCAGGGUGAACAAAGACCAAGCUUUAAUCAGGAGCCGGGUUUCCUGGCUCAUAGUAGGAAAGACCCGGCAGCAGACUAACCCAAGUGCUCUCUCCUCACUUGAACACAAUUUGCUAACAGGAUGAGGAAAGGAAGAGGAAGACCAAGACUUUGUUUUUAGGACCACUUUGUUAGUCCCCCUGGCUAACAUCUCAUUGGUUUCCCCCUCUUGGAGCUUUCUGGUUUUUCUAACGGUUUAUUAAGGUCAUGAGAGCAAUGGCUCACAAUCCUUUUGAACCUGGGUUUAGAUUGUUUUUUAGGAUUUUAUGUAUUUAUUUGAGAAAGCAUGAGCAGGUGGGGGGGGAAGGGAGAUAAGCAGACUCCCCACUGAAUGCAGAGCCCGAGGAGGGGCUCCAUCCCAGGACCCUGAGACCACGGCCUGAGCCAAGGUCAGCCCCUCAGCGGACUGAGCCACCCAGGUGCCCCUACCACCCCCCAUAGUUUUAAUUAAUAUAAAAAUUGUACAUGGUCUGCAAAGAUUAUUUGAAAUCUCAAAUAUCAUCAGUGAAACAAAUUAGCACGAGUCACUGUAGAAUAGUUUUUUUUUAACAGAUGAAAUAUCUUAUGAAGCAAUUUAAUGUCUAUGAUGUAUAUAAAAAAAACAACCCACUAUAGAAGUGCAGUUUGACUUUUCACAGCCUCAUCCUCGUCCCCCUUUCCUGGGCCAUUUCCAUUUGUGUCGGGCUCUGUAGCCUAGAAGAACUUUUGGGGAGUUUUGGUUCAGAUGCGUCCAGAAUUAAAUUUGGAAGCGGGAAGAAGAGAAGGGGAGAUGAUUUGAUGAAGGGAAGAGAGCAGUUUACUGAUGCGUCCUGGGGUGGAAUGAUGGGGAUAUGUGGAAGUCGUGCUGGGACAUAGAAGAGCUGGCGUGGAGGAGCUACGGUUGGAGAACACAGAACAAGCACUGGUUCGGUCGAGGUGAUGUUAAA
Canis lupus familiaris (dog) is the source of this 1587-nucleotide long non-coding RNA. RefSeq lists it as uncharacterized. The transcript has 3 exons. Lineage: Eukaryota; Metazoa; Chordata; Mammalia; Carnivora; Canidae. The record is from RefSeq and is a predicted model, not a curated record.